ACGGGUGCGGAACACGUACGCAACCUUCCUUUAAGCGGGGAAUAGCCCAGAGAAAUUUGGAUUAAUACCCCAUAAGAAUGUGAUCUGGCAUCAGGUAGCAUUUAAAGAUUUAUCACUUAAAGAUGGGCGUGCGUCUGAUUAGGUAGUUGGUGAGGUAACGGCUCACCAAGCCGACGAUCAGUAACUGGCGUGAGAGCGCGACCAGUCACACGGGCACUGAGACACGGGCCCGACUCCUACGGGAGGCAGCAGUAAGGAAUAUUGGUCAAUGGACGGAAGUCUGAACCAGCCAUGCCGCGUGGAGGAUGAAGGCCCUCUGGGUUGUAAACUUCUUUUAUCUGGGACGAAACACUUCUUUUCUAAGGAGCUUGACGGUACCAGGUGAAUAAGCACCGGCUAACUCCGUGCCAGCAGCCGCGGUAAUACGGAGGGUGCAAGCGUUAUCCGGAUUCACUGGGUUUAAAGGGUGCGUAGGCGGACAUGUAAGUCCGUGGUGAAAUCUCCGAGCUUAACUCGGAAACUGCCAUGGAUACUAUAUGUCUUGAAUGUUGUGGAGGUUAGCGGAAUAUGUCAUGUAGCGGUGAA
Molecule: ribosomal RNA, 585 nt
Filed under: Chitinophaga sp. StRD420
Lineage: Bacteria; Pseudomonadati; Bacteroidota; Chitinophagia; Chitinophagales; Chitinophagaceae
Description: bacterial SSU rRNA
Rfam family: Bacterial small subunit ribosomal RNA
Source: RNAcentral